This 726-nucleotide ribosomal RNA is filed under the name Bacillus sp. MJ513. Its description in RNAcentral is "bacterial SSU rRNA". It matches the Rfam family "Bacterial small subunit ribosomal RNA", at positions 76 to 784 of the family's 1533-position model. Lineage: Bacteria; Bacillati; Bacillota; Bacilli; Caryophanales; Bacillaceae. The record is from RNAcentral.
GAGCUUGCUCUUAUGAAGUUAGCGGCGGACGGGUGAGUCACUUCGAGGGUAACCUGCCCAUAAGACUGGGAUAACUCCGGGAAACCGGGGCUAAUACCGGAUAACAUUUUGAACCGCAUGGUUCGAAAUUGAAAGGCGGCUUCGGCUGUCACUUAUGGAUGGACCCGCGUCGCAUUAGCUAGUUGGUGAGGUAACGGCUCACCAAGGCAACGAUGCGUAGCCGACCUGAGAGGGUGAUCGGCCACACUGGGACUGAGACACGGCCCAGACUCCUACGGGAGGCAGCAGUAGGGAAUCUUCCGCAAUGGACGAAAGUCUGACGGAGCAACGCCGCGUGAGUGAUGAAGGCUUUCGGGUCGUAAAACUCUGUUGUUAGGGAAGAACAAGUGCUAGUUGAAUAAGCUGGCACCUUGACGGUACCUAACCAGAAAGCCACGGCUAACUACGUGCCAGCAGCCGCGGUAAUACGUAGGUGGCAAGCGUUAUCCGGAAUUAUUGGGCGUAAAGCGCGCGCAGGUGGUUUCUUAAGUCUGAUGUGAAAGCAGACGGCUCAACCGUGGAGGGUCAUUGGAAACUGGGAGACUUGAGUGCAGAAGAGGAAAGUGGAAUUCCAUGUGUAGCGGUGAAAUGCGUAGAGAUAUGGAGGAACACCAGUGGCGAAGGCGACUUUCUGGUCUGUAACUGACACUGAGGCGCGAAAGCGUGGGGAGCAAACAGGAUUAGAUA